CCUACGGGCGGCUGCAGUAGGGAAUCUUCCACAAUGGACGAAAGUCUGAUGGAGCAACGCCGCGUGUGUGAUGAAGGGUUUCGGCUCGUAAAACACUGUUGUAAGAGAAGAAUGACAUUGACAGUAACUGUUCAGUGUGUGACGGUAUCUUACCAGAAAGGAACGGCUAAAUACGUGCCAGCAGCCGCGGUAAUACGUAUGUUCCAAGCGUUAUCCGGAUUUAUUGGGCGUAAAGCGAGCGCAGACGGUUGUGUGAGGUCGGAGGGAAAGGCCAGAGCUUAAAUGAGGAAGUGCUUUGGAAGCUGGAUAACUUGAGUGCAGUAGAGGAGAGUGGAACUCCAUGUGUAGCGGUGAAAUGCGUAGAUAUAUGGAAGAACACCAGUGGCGAAGGCGGCUCUCUGGACUGUAACUGACGCUGAGGCUCGAAAGUGUGGGUAGCAAACAGGAUUAGAUACCCUUGUAGUC
Molecule: ribosomal RNA, 465 nt
Filed under: uncultured Weissella sp.
Lineage: Bacteria; Bacillati; Bacillota; Bacilli; Lactobacillales; Lactobacillaceae
Description: bacterial SSU rRNA
Rfam family: Bacterial small subunit ribosomal RNA
Source: RNAcentral